CAGUAGCCACGGUAAUACGUAGGGGGCAAGCGUUAUCCGGAAUAACUGGGCGUAAAGGGUGCGCAGGUGGUUUAACAAGUUAGUGGUGAAAGGCAUAGGCUCAACCAAUGUAAGCCAUUAAAACUGUUUAACUUGAGUGCAGGAGAGGAAAGUGGAAUUCCUAGUGUAGCGGUGAAAUGCGUAGAGAUUAGGAGGAACACCAGUGGCGAAGGCGGCUUUUUGGCCUGUAACUGACACUGAGGCGCGAAAGCGUGGGGAGCAAACAGGAUUAGAGACCCCGGUAGUCCCUGUCUCUUAUACC
Molecule: ribosomal RNA, 301 nt
Filed under: uncultured bacterium
Lineage: Bacteria
Description: partial 16S ribosomal RNA
Rfam family: Bacterial small subunit ribosomal RNA
Source: RNAcentral